This 374-nucleotide ribosomal RNA is filed under the name uncultured bacterium. RNAcentral describes it as "bacterial SSU rRNA". It matches the Rfam family "Bacterial small subunit ribosomal RNA", at positions 28 to 399 of the family's 1533-position model. The record is from RNAcentral.
GAUGAACGCUAGCGGCAGGCUUAAUACAUGCAAGUCGAGGGGCAGCAUAAGUAGCAAUACUUGAUGGCGACCGGCAAACGGGUGCGGAACACGUACGCAACCUUCCUUUAAGUGGGGAAUAGCCCGGGGAAACCCGGAUUAAUACCCCGUAAUAUUAUGAUGUGGCAUCACAUUAUAAUUAUAGAUUCAUCGCUUAAAGAUGGGCGUGCGCCUGAUUAGGUAGUUGGCGGAGUAAUAGCCCACCAAGCCUGCGAUCAGUAACUGGUGUGAGAGCACGACCAGUCACACGGGCACUGAGACACGGGCCCGACUCCUACGGGAGGCAGCAGUAAGGAAUAUUGGUCAAUGGACGCAAGUCUGAACCAGCCAUGCCG